GUGGGGAAUUUUGGACAAUGGGGGCAACCCUGAUCCAGCCAUUCCACGUGAGUGAAGAAGGCCUUCGGGUUGUAAAGCUCUUUCGUCAGGAACGAAACGGCGGGCUCUAACAUAGCCUGUUAAUGAUGGUACCUGAAGAAGAAGCACCGGCUAACUACGUGCCAGCAGCCGCGGUAAUACGUAGGGUGCGAGCGUUAAUCGGAAUUACUGGGCGUAAAGCGUGCGCAGGCGGAUUGUUAAGCAAGACGGGAAAUCCCCGGGCUUAACCUGGGAAUGGCGGUUUGAACUGGCAGUCUAGAGUGCGUCAGAGGGGGGUGGAAUUCCGCGUGUAGCAGUGAAAUGCGUAGAGAUGCGGAGGAACACCGAUGGCGAAGGCAGCCCCCUGGGAUGACACUGACGCUCAUGCACGAAAGCGUGGGGAGCAAACAGGAUUAGAUACCCCGGUAGUCC
This 450-nucleotide ribosomal RNA is filed under the name uncultured bacterium. RNAcentral describes it as "partial 16S ribosomal RNA". It matches the Rfam family "Bacterial small subunit ribosomal RNA", at positions 354 to 796 of the family's 1533-position model. The record is from RNAcentral.